Molecule: long non-coding RNA, 1004 nt
Organism: Parus major (Great Tit)
Lineage: Eukaryota; Metazoa; Chordata; Aves; Passeriformes; Paridae
Exons: 3
Source: RefSeq, a predicted model, not a curated record
UCCACGAGGUAAAUUUCUAGCAGGUUCCUCCUGUUGGCUUAUUAAAUUCUCACCACCUCCCUCUAGUGGUUACCUACACUCAUGUAACAGUACAUUGAAUUUAAGAAUUUAUUGUGUCGUGACUUAUUCAAUUAAUUAUGUAUAACAACUCAUUAUACUAUUUAACACUGUAUAACAGCUCAUCAUAUCAAUUAACAAUUCAUAACCCCACCUAUGAAAGUCAACUUUUUAUUGCCAAACUCUUCUGUCAUGUCACUGUUUUGUGAUGCUGCUUUGGAACACUAUUAUGCUCACACACUGCAACUAUGUAGGAAUGAUUUGGUUAAAGGAAAAUAACUUUCUGAAGCUUCUUUAGCCUUAAAGAUGUUCUCAUUUUUAGUUCAUCUAAAGAAAUAUGUUGACUCAAUAACAUUUUACAACCUUUUCCUCCUGAAUACAUUAAAAUUUAUUUUAAAAAUUACAUAUACAUAUUUUUCUGAAUAAGUAUUUGUAUUAUAUUGACUUAGUUUCAGUAUAAUAUUGGGAAUUCUAAUAAUUUGAAUUCCAAGUUAUAUGAAACCAUCAGUGAAAUUUGUUAAUAUGAAGAAAUUAUAAGGCAUUGAUGUUUAUUUUUCUUCUGCUACUGAAGCAAUAUACUGAGUAUGCAAAGAACACCAAACUAUUGAGUUAUCACUUGAUAUUUUUAAUGGCAAGAAAGUGCACAAAUGAAGAACUUACUCUGGAAUGGUUUCUUUGCACCAAGGAACUCUACAAAUCUAAAUGGCCUUGAGGACCAUAAGAAUUCAGCACAAGACCAGCAUCACAAACACAACAUUUUUACUCCUGGCUAUCCUCCUCUCCGACAGAACUGGAAGAUAAGAGAAUGAAAAAAAGAACAAAUAUGAGAAAAAGGAGAGGAAGGAAUCUGCCUUGCAAGUCCUUGAAAGCUGGAUAGGCGGGAGAAUGUUGGACAAUUAUCAUUGAAAGGAAGCACAGACUUUUUUCCUCCAUAAGAGCAAAAAAUG